Long non-coding RNA from Hyaena hyaena (striped hyena), 462 nucleotides. RefSeq lists it as uncharacterized. The record is from RefSeq and is a predicted model, not a curated record. NCBI's taxonomy places the organism in Eukaryota, Metazoa, Chordata, Mammalia, Carnivora, Hyaenidae. The transcript has 3 exons.
AGGAGCGUCAGAGAGGAAAUGUGAUACUACAGGCAGAGCUCAGAGAGGAGACAGGUGCUACACGGCUGGCUUUGAAGAUGGAGACGGGGCUGCCAGCCAGGAGCCUCCCGGAGGAACGCAGCCCUGUUAGCACCUUAAUGGGCCCGGUGAGCCCCAGUUUGGACUUUUGGCCUCCAGAACUGAAGAAGAUGAGCUCUGUGAGGCUGGGCUGCCCGUCUCCUGUUUCUUUGCUUCCCUGGCUGCUACCCCUCUUUCCGAUGCCCAGCCCCACGCUGGGCACCUUGCUGGCGCUUGGGACACCAUCACGCUGCAAUGUCGUAUCUGAAAGCAUUUCCCUUCAGUAAAGCCCGAUCCAAGUCUUGGCGUUCAGGAACGGGAGUUGUUGGAAAGGACCAGAAGAGCCCGGAGGGAUGACUGGCUUGGAGCCUGGGAGCCCCGGCUUCAGAUCCGGGCUGUGCCGCU